AGGACGAACGCUGGCGGCGUGCAUAACACAUGCAAGUCGAACGAGAAUCGAAAGCGGGAAGCUUCGGUGGAACGCUUUGAGGAAAGUGGCGGACGGGUGAGUAACGCGUAAGGAACCUGCCUCUCACAGCGGGAUAGCAGCUGGAAACGGCUAUUAAUACCGCAUGAUACAUCUUUUGCGCAUGCAGGGGAUGUCAAAGGGUCUACCGGUGAGAGAUGGCCUUGCGUCUGAUUAGCUGGUUGGUGUGGUAACGGCGCACCAAGGCGACGAUCAGUAGCCGGCUUGAGAGAGUGAACGGCCACAUUGGGACUGAGACACGGCCCAAACUCCUACGGGAGGCAGCAGUGGGGAAUUUUGCACAAUGGGGGAAACCCUGAUGCAGCGACGCCGCGUGAACGAAGAAGGUCUUCGGAUUGUAAAGUUCUGUCCUUGGCGAAGAAGAAUGACGGUAGUCAAGGAGGAAGCCCCGGCUAACUACGUGCCAGCAGCCGCGGUAAUACGUAGGGGGCGAGCGUUGUCCGGAAUUAUUGGGCGUAAAGGGUACGUAGGCGGUUUUUUAAGUUCGCCGUGAAAGCCCGGGGCUUAGCCCCGGUAAGCGGUGAAAACUGGAGAACUUGAGUAAUGAGGG
Molecule: ribosomal RNA, 628 nt
Filed under: uncultured Tissierellia bacterium
Lineage: Bacteria; Bacillati; Bacillota; Tissierellia
Description: bacterial SSU rRNA
Rfam family: Bacterial small subunit ribosomal RNA
Source: RNAcentral